This 26-nucleotide non-coding RNA is filed under the name Mus musculus (house mouse). Lineage: Eukaryota; Metazoa; Chordata; Mammalia; Rodentia; Muridae. The record is from RNAcentral.
UAGAUACUCACCCUGGUGGGCCUCAC